RNAcentral lists this long non-coding RNA (624 nucleotides) under Brassica rapa (field mustard). RNAcentral describes it as "long non-coding RNA (BRAP_LNC008284)". The record is from RNAcentral. Lineage: Eukaryota; Viridiplantae; Streptophyta; Magnoliopsida; Brassicales; Brassicaceae.
UUCUUUCCCCGUAUCCUUCACCCCAGAUUGCCUUGAUUCCUUUGGAUCCCCUUCCUGGAUCACAAGAUUGCGGUCCUGGAGCUCAGAUGAUCCCGGCGAUGAAGCCGAGUCCAUCGGAAAAUCCCUCGUCAACGUCGUUCUCGAAAUCGCCAAAAUCGCCUAAAAAUCGCCUUCAGUAAAACGGUGCGUUUCGUGAAAACAUUUUUUUUUUUUUUUUUUUUUUUAGUGGUGCAGAAUCACCAGGAAGUUGAAUAAAUCUCAUAGGAGUUGGGAUGAAGAAGUUAUCCCACUUUCAAAUCAGGUGAUUCCAGUUUCCCAGUUUGGGUAUAGCACAGCUUCAUCGUCGUUCCCAUCAAACCAGGAUGAUUCACUUUGUGAGAAGCUUUAUUUGGAUACAUAAAGUUGUGGAGAAUCACCAGGAAGUUGAAUAAAUCACAUAGGAGUUGGCGAAAAGAAGUUAUCCCACUUUCAAAUCAGGUGAUUCCAGUUUCCCAGUUUGGGAAUAGGACAGCUUCUGUAUCGUUCAAAUCAAACCAGGAUGAAUCACUUUGUGAGAAGCUUGAUUUGGAUACAUAAAGUGGUGGAGAAUCACCACGAAGUUGAAUAAAUCUCAUAGGAGUUGGC